Long non-coding RNA from Dermacentor andersoni, 1640 nucleotides. RefSeq lists it as uncharacterized. Lineage: Eukaryota; Metazoa; Arthropoda; Arachnida; Ixodida; Ixodidae. The record is from RefSeq and is a predicted model, not a curated record.
AUUAACGAUUAAAGUACAGAGCAAAAGUAUAAAUUAAAUUGAAUAAAUGUGUAAAAUGCAAUUAAACACACUGACAUGAGUACUUGUUUAUCUUUAUAGGGCAACCACAUUUCACCGCCUAACAAAUUUUACCACACAGCGCAGGACAUGCCUGCAUGUAUCAGAAGUUUCUGGAAUGUUAUCACUGGUUGCAUCCACUGUCUGUCACACAACCUUGUGUAAUUUGAUUGCAUAUAUGCACGAAGCGAAUAGUGUAGAACUUUGUGGAAGACACGCAGGUCCCGGCGAUUACUCUAGAACGUUCGAUGACUGAUGUAUAAAAGCCAAUGCACUUGACUCGCUGAUCAGAUUUUGAUGAUCGCCGACUGUGUUCGCCACUGUCGCCGUUCUUUAAGUGUGGCCUCUUCUAGUGGGCAUAGGUUCGCCGAAUAAAAUUUAGUUUUAUCUUUCACGGUAUUGCUACUGUGUUCUUUAUACGUCACUACCAUGUGACGUCUGGCAGAGGUGCUUUUCGUUCAUGUACCGGACGCCCCGACAAGCCGUGAUCCAAGCCCGGACUGCAAAGAGUACAGCAACGUAAUCCCGGACCAUCAAGCAAGCCGCCGGCUACAACAGCUGCCCCUGGAGCACGGACUUCUACCUGAGAUGACCAAGAAGAUUGUGGCCAAGACAACCCAAAUGGCAGCUGCAGCGUCCCUCAUUGUUCUGCAACAGCCCAGAGAGCCACUGACUUUCCAUGCAUCAUCGUCUGAAGACCCAGAAACUUGGCUGGAGACCUAUGAACGAAUCGCGACUUUCAACAACUGGGACUCUGACGACAAGCUGCGGCAUGUAUACUUGAUGAUGAUGUGUGGUGUUUUAUGGCGCAAGGGCCAGGUUUGGCCAAAGAGCGCUAUGACAAGUGGUAAUGUUGACGAUGUAUUGUGGAUGACAUGCACAAUGAACUCAUAAUGGUAGAUGUGAUAUGGCUGUAAAAGGGCCUAAAAACUUACGCUGUAAGUGGCGUAGAAUAUAUAGGUGCUAAAAUAAUGACGGUGACUAGGAUGUGAUGUGGGCUAUGGCAAUGGGCUUUCGUUAAAACAUGAUGCAAUGAAACAUAACAUUGACACCUGAGUUUCAAGAGAGCUUUUGAAUGCAGGGCUGAUAGUCGUGUGCUAAAAGUUGCCUGGCCAAAUGAUUUUCAGGGUGUCCAAUUCGGCUAAAAACUCUGAGACUGUUUGCAGAUUAAAAAGCGGUUCAUCGCUAAGAAAAAAUGCAGGGUGAAGGGGUGUAUUCUCGCGAUAUGCAGCAGGGAAAUACUUUUUCCUCUCUGUUUCUAUUGCAGGGCACUGAAUAAGAACAUGGAGGACUGUGAGGCUAUUGCUGCACUUAACACAAGUUGGAGGAUCGCCCCCAGUCAAGAGAUGAGAGACCUCUCAGGAAUGGAACCACCUUCCCAGCACAGUUGUUGCAAUCAAGGACAAUCAAGUUUCGUUCGGCCAUAUCAGACAUCGUCGCUCCUGGACACAAUUACCUAGUCAACUUUGCUGUGUUAACUAACCACUUUGCUGCUUUGUUAUUUACUUAUGUAUAUCUUUUUUACCCACUCCCCUCUGUAAUACUUCAGUCUUGAGGGUACAAUAAAAUAAAUAAUGAACUUC